GACGAACGCUGGCGGCGUGCUUAACACAUGCAAGUCGAACGGAAAGGCCCUGCUUUUGUGGGGUGCUCGAGUGGCGAACGGGUGAGUAACACGUGAGUAACCUGCCCUUGACUUUGGGAUAACUUCAGGAAACUGGGGCUAAUACCGGAUAGGAGCUCCUGCUGCAUGGUGGGGGUUGGAAAGUUUCGGCGGUUGGGGAUGGACUCGCGGCUUAUCAGCUUGUUGGUGGGGUAGUGGCUUACCAAGGCUUUGACGGGUAGCCGGCCUGAAAGGGUGACCGGCCACAGUGGGACUGAGAUACGGCCCAGACUCCUACGGGAGGCAGCAGUGGGGAAUAUUGCACAAUGGGCGGAAGCCUGAUGCAGCAACGCCGCGUGCGGGAUGACGGCCUUCGGGUUGUAAACCGCUUUCGCCUGUGACGAAGCGUGAGUGACGGUAAGGGGUAAAGAAGCGCCGGCUAACUACGUGC
RNAcentral lists this ribosomal RNA (469 nucleotides) under uncultured bacterium. RNAcentral describes it as "partial 16S ribosomal RNA". It matches the Rfam family "Bacterial small subunit ribosomal RNA", at positions 28 to 508 of the family's 1533-position model. The record is from RNAcentral.